This 160-nucleotide ribosomal RNA is filed under the name uncultured Pediococcus sp. Its description in RNAcentral is "partial 16S ribosomal RNA". It matches the Rfam family "Bacterial small subunit ribosomal RNA", at positions 355 to 507 of the family's 1533-position model. Lineage: Bacteria; Bacillati; Bacillota; Bacilli; Lactobacillales; Lactobacillaceae. The record is from RNAcentral.
UAGGGAAUCUUCCACAAUGGACGCAAGUCUGAUGGAGCAACGCCGCGUGAGUGAAGAAGGGUUUCGGCUCGUAAAGCUCUGUUGUUAAAGAAGAACGUGGGUAAGAGUAACUGUUUACCCAGUGACGGUAUUUAACCAGAAAGCCACGGCUAACUACGUG